RNAcentral lists this ribosomal RNA (430 nucleotides) under uncultured bacterium. RNAcentral describes it as "bacterial SSU rRNA". It matches the Rfam family "Bacterial small subunit ribosomal RNA", at positions 355 to 775 of the family's 1533-position model. The record is from RNAcentral.
UGGGGAAUAUUGGACAAUGGGGGGAACCCUGAUCCAGCAAUGCCGCGUGUGUGAAGAAGGCCUGAGGGUUGUAAAGCACUUUCGCUGGGGAGGAGUGGAUGCUAGGUUAAGAGCUAGGCAUUUGGACGUUACCCAGAUAAGAAGCACCGGCUAACUCCGUGCCAGCAGCCGCGGUAAUACGGAGGGUGCGAGCGUUAAUCGGAAUUACUGGGCGUAAAGGGUGCGUAGGUGGUUUGAUAAGUUAGCUGUGAAAGUCCUGGGCUUAACCUGGGAAGGUCAGCUAAGACUGUUAGACUUAGAGUAUAGGAGGGGGUAGUGGAAUUUCCGGUGUAGCGGUGAAAUGCGUAGAGAUCGGAAGGAACACCAGUGGCGAAGGCGGCUACCUGGCCUAAUACUGACACUGAGGCACGAAAGCGUGGGGAGCAAACAG